GAUGAACGCUGGCGGCGUGCCUAAUACAUGCAAGUCGAGCGAACAGACGAGGAGCUUGCUCCUCUGACGUUAGCGGCGGACGGGUGAGUAACACGUGGAUAACCUACCUAUAAGACUGGGAUAACUUCGGGAAACCGGAGCUAAUACCGGAUAAUAUAUUGAACCGCAUGGUUCAAUAGUGAAAGACGGUUUUGCUGUCACUUAUAGAUGGAUCCGCGCCGCAUUAGCUAGUUGGUAAGGUAACGGCUUACCAAGGCGACGAUGCGUAGCCGACCUGAGAGGGUGAUCGGCCACACUGGAACUGAGACACGGUCCAGACUCCUACGGGAGGCAGCAGUAGGGAAUCUUCCGCAAUGGGCGAAAGCUUGACGGAGCAACGCCGCGUGAGUGAUGAAGGUCUUCGGAUCGUAAAACGCUGUUAUUAGGGAAGAACAAAUGUGUAAGUAACUAUGCACGUCUUGACGGUACCUAAUCAGAAAGCCACGGCUAACUACGU
Molecule: ribosomal RNA, 496 nt
Filed under: uncultured bacterium
Lineage: Bacteria
Description: partial 16S ribosomal RNA
Rfam family: Bacterial small subunit ribosomal RNA
Source: RNAcentral